This 479-nucleotide ribosomal RNA is filed under the name uncultured bacterium. Its description in RNAcentral is "partial 16S ribosomal RNA". It matches the Rfam family "Bacterial small subunit ribosomal RNA", at positions 28 to 507 of the family's 1533-position model. The record is from RNAcentral.
GAUGAACGCUAGCGGGAGGCCUAACACAUGCAAGCCGAGCGGUAGAGUUUCUUCGGAAACUUGAGAGCGGCGCACGGGUGCGUAACACGUGUGCAACCUACCUUUAUCUGGGGGAUAGCCUUUCGAAAGGAAGAUUAAUACCCCAUAAUAUAAUGAUUGGCAUCAAUUAUUAUUGAAAACUCCGGUGGAUAGAGAUGGGCACGCGCAAGAUUAGAUAGUUGGUGAGGUAACGGCUCACCAAGUCAAUGGUCUUUAGGGGUCCUGAGAGGGAGAUCCCCCACACUGGUACUGAGACACGGACCAGACUCCUACGGGAGGCAGCAGUGAGGAAUAUUGGACAAUGGGUGAGAGCCUGAUCCAGCCAUCCCGCGUGAAGGAUGACGGUCCUAUGGAUUGUAAACUUCUUUUGUACAGGGAUAAACCUACCCUCGUGAGGGUAGCUGAAGGUACUGUACGAAUAAGCACCGGCUAACUCCGUG